GCUCGUUCAGCUCCAGGCAGAGCUGCGACACAGACGUAUGUGGCCAUGAGCGCUGAGACACCACCAGGCUCCUCCGUCGUGUGAAGCCGCCACGUGGAGCAUCGAAACGAAUGCAGCUUCCGGCUCAGUUAUCCAGAGAAGGAACUGGGGCAGCGAUGCGGUCCUUCGUUGUGAGCCACCGCAGCUCCAGACCCGGACUGUGCAUGUUCCCGACGGCGAGUACGGAGCGACGGCCCCACCUUUUUCAGCGCCUCCGUGUCCAUCAGCUCCUGCACGGCCAGCAACGACACUCUGCAGGGUACAGCGGUGGCAGCCAGGACCCAGGGUCAGUGUCACCACGCCACCGUUCAGCUAUGCAACAUGCAGGCGCAGUGUCGGCCUAGUUAUCUUAAAUUCUUCACUCACGAAGCUGACGAUUGUAAUCUUUGCGCUCACUGUUACUCACAUCUGAGCAGCUUUGGAGCAUCAGAGAUACUUUUGUAACCCACCAGAUAAAAAUCUGGUGCUGCCGCUUUGGCAGAAUCAUUUUCUAGCUCUGCGGAAUUUUUCCAGGGCCACAGUGCAGCAGAUAAUGCGCUGGGGUCUGCACAAAACAUGUUUACAUAACGAUCCGCUAUCAAAGUGACUGUAAAUAUGUAAAGCACUGGAAUUCGGGACAGAUAUCUAAUCAUUUCUACUCCCGUUUACCCAUGACCAGGGAUAAAAAUAAAAAAGUAGAAGUUCCAGAAUGAAA
This is a long non-coding RNA of Petromyzon marinus (sea lamprey), 733 nucleotides long. RefSeq lists it as uncharacterized. The record is from RefSeq and is a predicted model, not a curated record. NCBI's taxonomy places the organism in Eukaryota, Metazoa, Chordata, Hyperoartia, Petromyzontiformes, Petromyzontidae.